RNAcentral lists this ribosomal RNA (444 nucleotides) under uncultured bacterium. Its description in RNAcentral is "bacterial SSU rRNA". It matches the Rfam family "Bacterial small subunit ribosomal RNA", at positions 958 to 1398 of the family's 1533-position model. The record is from RNAcentral.
AACGCGAAGAACCUUACCUGGGUUUGAAAUGCAGUGGUAAGCCUCAGAGAUGAGGUCCCCUCUUCGGAGGCCGCUGCAUAGGUGCUGCAUGGCUGUCGUCAGCUCGUGUCGUGAGAUGUUGGGUUAAGUCCCGCAACGAGCGCAACCCUUGUCCAUAGUUGCUAACAGGUCAUGCUGAGAACUCUAUGGAGACUGCCGGUGAUAAACCGGAGGAAGGUGGGGAUGACGUCAAGUCCUCAUGGCCUUUAUGUCCAGGGCUACACACGUGCUACAAUGGACGGUACAAAGGGUUGCAAAGCCGCAAGGUGGAGCUAAUCCCAAAAAAGCCGUUACUCAGUUCGGAUUGUUCUCUGCAACUCGAGAGCAUGAAGCUGGAAUCGCUAGUAAUCGCGGAUCAGAACGCCGCGGUGAAUACGUUCCCGGGCCUUGUACACACCGUAGUAC